GAUGAACGCUGGCGGCGUGCCUAAUACAUGCAAGCCGAGCGAACAGACGAGGAGCUUGCUCCUCUGACGUUAGCGGCGGACGGGUGAGUAACACGUGGAUAACCUACCUAUAAGACUGGGAUAACUUCGGGAAACCGGAGCUAAUACCGGAUAAUAUAUUGAACCGCAUGGUUCAAUAGUGAAAGACGGUUUUGCUGUCACUUAUAGAUGGAUCCGCGCCGCAUUAGCUAGUUGGUAAGGUAACGGCUUACCAAGGCGACGAUGCGUAGCCGACCUGAGAGGGUGAUCGGCCACACUGGAACUGAGACGCGGUCCAGACUCCUACGGGAGGCAGCAGUAGGGAAUCUUCCGCAAUGGGCGAAAGCCUGACGGAGCAACGCCGCGUGAGUGAUGAAGGUCUUCGGAUCGUAAAACUCUGUUAUUAGGGAAGAACAAAUGUGUAAGUAACUAUGCACGUCUUGACGGUACCUAAUCAGAAAGCCACGGCUAACUACGUG
This 497-nucleotide ribosomal RNA is filed under the name uncultured bacterium. RNAcentral's name for it is "partial 16S ribosomal RNA". It matches the Rfam family "Bacterial small subunit ribosomal RNA", at positions 28 to 507 of the family's 1533-position model. The record is from RNAcentral.